RNAcentral lists this ribosomal RNA (470 nucleotides) under uncultured bacterium. RNAcentral describes it as "bacterial SSU rRNA". It matches the Rfam family "Bacterial small subunit ribosomal RNA", at positions 335 to 795 of the family's 1533-position model. The record is from RNAcentral.
ACUCCUACGGGAGGGCAGCAGUAGGGAAGUCUUCCACAAUGGACGAAAGUACUGAUGGAGCAACGCCGCGUGAGUGAAGAAGGGUUUCGGCUCGUAAAACUCUGUUGUUAAAGAAGAACAUAUCUGAGAGUAACUGUUCAGGUAUUGACGGUAUUUAACCAGAAAGCCACGGCUAACUACGUGCCAGCAGCCGCGGUAAUACGUAGGUGGCAAGCGUUGUCCGGAUUUAUUGGGCGUAAAGCGAGCGCAGGCGGUUUUUAAGUCUGAUGUGAAAGCCUUCGGCUCAACCGAAGAAGUGCAUCGGAAACUGGGAAACUUGAGUGCAGAAGAGGACAGUGGAACUCCAUGUGUAGCGGUGAAAUGCGUAGAUAUAUGGAAGAACACCAGUGGCGAAGGCGGCUGUCUGGUCUGUAACUGACGCUGAGGCUCGAAAGUAUAGGUAGCAAACAGGAUUAGAUACCCUGGUAGGC